CCUACGGGUGGCAGCAGUAGGGAAUAUUGCUCAAUGGGGGAAACUCUGAAGCAGCAACGCCGCGUGGAGGAUGAAGGUUUUAGGAUUGUAAAGUUCUUUUGUUAGAGAAGAUGAUGACGGUAUCUCACGAAUAAGCACCGGCUAACUCCGUGCCAGCAGCCGCGGCAAUAAGGAGGGUGCAAGCGUUAUUCGGAAUGACUGGGCGUAAAGCGUGCGUAGGCGGGGUAAUAAGUCAGAUGUGAAAUCCUGUAGCUUAACUACAGAACUGCUAUUGAAACUGGUAGUCUGGAGUGUAGGAGAGGUAGGUGGAAUUCUUGGUGUAGAGGUGAAAUGCGUAGAGAUCAAGAGGAAUACCCAUUGCGAAGGCGAACUGCUAGAACAUAACUGACGCUGAUGCACGAAAGCGUGGGGAGCAAACAGGAUUAGAUACCCGAGUAGUC
RNAcentral lists this ribosomal RNA (440 nucleotides) under uncultured bacterium. RNAcentral's name for it is "partial 16S ribosomal RNA". It matches the Rfam family "Bacterial small subunit ribosomal RNA", at positions 338 to 795 of the family's 1533-position model. The record is from RNAcentral.